AAAUUGAAGAGUUUGAUCAUGGCUCAGAUUGAACGCUGGCGGCAGGCCUAACACAUGCAAGUCGAACGGUAACAGGAAGCAGCUUGCUGCUUYGCUGACGAGUGGCGGACGGGUGAGUAAUGUCUGGGAAACUGCCUGAUGGAGGGGGAUAACUACUGGAAACGGUGGCUAAUACCGCAUAACGUCGCAAGACCAAAGAGGGGGACCUUCGGGCCUCUUGCCAUCAGAUGUGCCCAGAUGGGAUUAGCUWGUUGGUGAGGUAACGGCUCACCAAGGCGACGAUCCCUAGCUGGUCUGAGAGGAUGACCAGCCACACUGGAACUGAGACACGGUCCAGACUCCUA
Molecule: ribosomal RNA, 344 nt
Filed under: Salmonella enterica subsp. enterica serovar Infantis
Lineage: Bacteria; Pseudomonadati; Pseudomonadota; Gammaproteobacteria; Enterobacterales; Enterobacteriaceae
Description: bacterial SSU rRNA
Source: RNAcentral